AUGCGAUGAACUUCUCAUGUUUAAUAGAUCUACUGUUACCAAAGUUUAGCUUAAUAUUCUAGUCCUGCCCUACUGAAAGAUGGUUGCCUAUAUACGUAGGAAGGUUAGAUAAUGUGGUUCUAUCCUUGCUUAUGGUGAGAUUGUGGUGUCCUUGGUCUCCAGGUGUAAUGAGGUUAAAUUCUUCAAAUGCUAUGUCAAACUUCUAAUUAAUUCCUAAUUUUUAACAAGAUUCUUCUAAAUUAUGUUCUUUGGAACUGAGAAAGACUUGGAUGUGAUUCAUCAUAUCAAUAUGAAAUAAAUUUGUAAUAACAAAAUCUGUUGUCCUUUUCAUUUGUGAAGGGGAGCAGUUCGUAGAGCUUAUAGAGCUUAUUUUCUCAUGUUGCUUUGUUGAAAGAUGAUCAUGGCCUGGACCAGUGGGAGCUCGUCUGAAGAUGAAGGAGUGCAAUUCUCAAAUCUCGAGCAUUCUCAACGAGCAGCAGCAACUUCAGAAUAAGAUUAGUGAGACCGAUCUUGAGAAGGGAAUGGAAAAUGAGGUGCUAGCAAACCAUGCAAGGAUGUGUAGGCGAGUCCCUUGAUGACUCUGAUCCAGGAAUGUGAAGGGCAAAAAUGUAACUUAGGCUUGCUGAAUGUGACAAAUAGACUUCGCUACCUAGAAAAGGAUUUUCUCCUACAUUCUACCAAGUGUUUGCUUCUCAAGGAGUAAGUUGUGGGCAAAUUGCAAUUUGGUUUUCGACAUUCAAAUUCUAAUUUUCUAGUUUGAUAGGAAUUGAUUGGUACUUAAUAAUGUUUUAGCUGAACCUUGUAACUCUCUAGCCUUGCAUUAGUUAGGCUUUUUUUUUAUUUCAACUUUAUUGGUUGUGUAGAUGUAUUCAAUUUGACUAUAUAAUUGUGAUAUGCAUUUUCAUUGUAAAAUAUUACUA
Lycium ferocissimum is the source of this 920-nucleotide long non-coding RNA. RefSeq lists it as uncharacterized. The record is from RefSeq and is a predicted model, not a curated record. NCBI's taxonomy places the organism in Eukaryota, Viridiplantae, Streptophyta, Magnoliopsida, Solanales, Solanaceae. The transcript has 3 exons.